This 537-nucleotide ribosomal RNA is filed under the name Enterobacter kobei. RNAcentral's name for it is "partial 23S ribosomal RNA". It matches the Rfam family "Bacterial large subunit ribosomal RNA", at positions 656 to 1191 of the family's 2925-position model. Lineage: Bacteria; Pseudomonadati; Pseudomonadota; Gammaproteobacteria; Enterobacterales; Enterobacteriaceae. The record is from RNAcentral.
UAUAGGGGAGCCGAAGGGAAACCGAGUCUUAACUGGGCGUUAAGUUGCAGGGUAUAGACCCGAAACCCGGUGAUCUAGCCAUGGGCAGGUUGAAGGUUGGGUAACACUAACUGGAGGACCGAACCGACUAAUGUUGAAAAAUUAGCGGAUGACCUGUGGCUGGGGGUGAAAGGCCAAUCAAACCGGGAGAUAGCUGGUUCUCCCCGAAAGCUAUUUAGGUAGCGCCUCGUGAACUCAUCUUCGGGGGUAGAGCACUGUUUCGGCUAGGGGGCCAUCCCGGCUUACCAACCCGAUGCAAACUACGAAUACCGAAGAAUGUUAUCACGGGAGACACACGGCGGGUGCUAACGUCCGUCGUGAAGAGGGAAACAACCCAGACCGCCAGCUAAGGUCCCAAAGUCAUGGUUAAGUGGGAAACGAUGUGGGAAGGCACAGACAGCCAGGAUGUUGGCUUAGAAGCAGCCAUCAUUUAAAGAAAGCGUAAUAGCUCACUGGUCGAGUCGGCCUGCGCGGAAGAUGUAACGGGGCUAAACCAUG